RNAcentral lists this ribosomal RNA (859 nucleotides) under uncultured bacterium. RNAcentral describes it as "bacterial SSU rRNA". It matches the Rfam family "Bacterial small subunit ribosomal RNA", at positions 43 to 900 of the family's 1533-position model. The record is from RNAcentral.
CAGGCCUAACACAUGCAAGUCGAGCGGCAGCACGGGAAGCUUGCUUUCUGGUGGCGAGCGGCGGACGGGUGAGUACUGCAUAGGAAUCUACCCGGUAGUGGGGGAUAACCUGGGGAAACUCAGGCUAAUACCGCAUACGUCCUACGGGAGAAAGGGGGCUUUGGCUCCCGCUAUCGGAUGAGCCUAUGCCGGAUUAGCUGGUUGGUGAGGUAAUGGCUCACCAAGGCGACGAUCCGUAGCUGGUCUGAGAGGAUGAUCAGCCACAUCGGGACUGAGACACGGCCCGAACUCCUACGGGAGGCAGCAGUGGGGAAUAUUGGACAAUGGGGGCAACCCUGAUCCAGCCAUGCCGCGUGUGUGAAGAAGGCCUUCGGGUUGUAAAGCACUUUCAGCGAGGAAGAACGCCUGGCGGUUAAUACCCGCCAGGAAAGACAUCACUCGCAGAAGAAGCACCGGCUAACUCCGUGCCAGCAGCCGCGGUAAUACGGAGGGUGCAAGCGUUAAUCGGAAUUACUGGGCGUAAAGCGCGCGUAGGUGGCUUGAUAAGCCGGUUGUGAAAGCCCCGGGCUCAACCUGGGAACGGCAUCCGGAACUGUCAGGCUAGAGUGCAGGAGAGGAAGGUAGAAUUCCCGGUGUAGCGGUGAAAUGCGUAGAGAUCGGGAGGAAUACCAGUGGCGAAGGCGGCCUUCUGGACUGACACUGACACUGAGGUGCGAAAGCGUGGGUAGCAAACAGGAUUAGAUACCCUGGUAGUCCACGCCGUAAACGAUGUCGACCAGCCGUUGGGUGCCUAGCGCACUUUGUGGCGAAGUUAACGCGAUAAGUCGACCGCCUGGGGAGUCGGCCGCAAGGUUAAAAC